Molecule: ribosomal RNA, 496 nt
Filed under: uncultured bacterium
Lineage: Bacteria
Description: partial 16S ribosomal RNA
Rfam family: Bacterial small subunit ribosomal RNA
Source: RNAcentral
GACGAACGCUGGCGGCGUGCCUAAUACAUGCAAGUAGAACGCUGAAGAGAGGAGCUUGCUCUUCUUGGAUGAGUUGCGAACGGGUGAGUAACGCGUAGGUAACCUGCCUUGUAGCGGGGAUAACUAUUGGAAACGAUAGCUAAUACCGCAUAACAAUGGAUGACACAUGUCAUUUAUUUGAAAGGGGCAAUUGCUCCACUACAAGAUGGACCUGCGUUGUAUUAGCUAGUAGGUGAGGUAACGGCUCACCUAGGCGACGAUACAUAGCCGACCUGAGAGGGUGAUCGGCCACACUGGGACUGAGACACGGCCCAGACUCCUACGGGAGGCAGCAGUAGGGAAUCUUCGGCAAUGGGGGCAACCCUGACCGAGCAACGCCGCGUGAGUGAAGAAGGUUUUCGGAUCGUAAAGCUCUGUUGUAAGUCAAGAACGAGUGUGAGAGUGGAAAGUUCACACUGUGACGGUAGCUUACCAGAAAGGGACGGCUAACUACGUG